RNAcentral lists this ribosomal RNA (253 nucleotides) under uncultured prokaryote. RNAcentral's name for it is "partial 16S ribosomal RNA". It matches the Rfam family "Bacterial small subunit ribosomal RNA", at positions 525 to 777 of the family's 1533-position model. The record is from RNAcentral.
ACGUAGGGUCCAAGCGUUAUCCGGAAUCACUGGGCGUAAAGCGUGCGUAGGUGGAUGUUUAAGUGAGUUGUUAAAUCGCGUGGCUCAACCAUGUCGAUGCAAUUCAUACUGGACGUCUAGAGGACGGCAGAGGCAAGUGGAAUUAGCAGUGUAGCAGUGAAAUGCGUAGAUAUUGCUAGGAACACCAAUGGCGAAGGCAGCUUGCUGGGCCACUCCUGACACUGAGGCACGAAAGCGUGGGGAGCGAACAGGA